Molecule: long non-coding RNA, 1109 nt
Organism: Callithrix jacchus (white-tufted-ear marmoset)
Lineage: Eukaryota; Metazoa; Chordata; Mammalia; Primates; Cebidae
Source: RefSeq, a predicted model, not a curated record
GGAGACAGGAGAACCAACUUCACAUGGCCCCUUCUUAUCUCACGUAAAUUCCUUUCCAACGCCUAAACCUUAAUUGCUUUCCUCAUUUAAAUGUCUUUUUCAAAAUCUCUACCGUGUGAUUGUGCAGCCGAAAAAGAGAGAAGAGAGAAAGGAAAACGGUAUUUUAAUACUUCGAUAACUCCAAUUCAUUUCCCUGCACGGUUCCAAGGACGCGUCUAUCUUUAGACUGCUGUAUUAAAGGGAGGAGGGGAGGAAUGAGAGCCUGAAGAAACAGAGACUCACAGAAUCAUGGGACAUUUGCCUUGAAUGAGAUCAGAGAGGCCACCCCUGCGCGUCUUUCCCUCCCAGCCAACCCCAGCACCCUCGGUUUCCUCUGGGCACACCCCAUGACUUGGGAGCAGCCGGUGCCCUGUGGGAGCCAUUUGAUUUGCCCACCCUGUCCCCUGGAUGAAUUUCAAAGGCUCUUCAAGGGACAAGGAGGUUGCAGCUGCGUGCACUGUCACCAAACAGUGGGUCCUACUUGGAGCUGAGCUGGAAAAUGGAUUCGGGGGCUGAAGAAUCAAACUUGAGGCCGUGAAAUGCUCCUUGUGACGUCCUCGUAACACUUCAUGUUGUGGAGCUGGGGGUCACCGGCUGCAGCUUCCUCCUGAUCAGGGACUCCUUAUACACAAUUGCUGAGUGGCACACAGCUAGGAAAUGGCAGGGUCGCCAGGCCCGCCGCCCUCCUGUACCUUCCUGCCCUGCUCAGUGGGGGAAGCCCAGUGUUCCCGUAGCGGGCAGCCCCAUGGCCUAGCUUGGUCUAGCGCCACAUCCUGUCCUCCGUGUGGCAAAGAGCUUCUGCUUGGCCAGUCUUGAGUCAGGCCCCGAUCCUUUUCUACGUCCAUUAGCAAAAUCCCCAGCUAAGUCAGUCUGAUACCGAGGCACGCUGAUGGGCCUUCAGCAGAAACCCCUGGAGUCUGGUUCAGCCAGAAGUGCCCCCAGACCUGACAUCUCCUCUGAGUCACUUUCCACCCACUGACCCUCUGCCCCUUGGCCGCCAAUGCCCACUCGUCCCUGCUGUGUUUGUAACUGGAGUCUCUUUUUCCCUUUGCAAUUGUCCUGAAUAAAAU